UUAAUUAAAGCCAAAAAAGAGGCAUUUCAUUGUUAAUGAAAUUAAUGAUUAAUUUUUCUAAUUAAA
RNAcentral lists this transfer RNA (66 nucleotides) under Penthimia melanocephala. RNAcentral describes it as "tRNA-Asn". The record is from RNAcentral. Lineage: Eukaryota; Metazoa; Arthropoda; Insecta; Hemiptera; Cicadellidae.